AAUAUUCGAGAACGGAGGUAGUAUUAUUUUCUACAUCUUCUCCCUCUACUCAUUGACGCUCUUAAUUCUGAAUAGUUCAUCUGCAAACUUUGAGUUCUGCUAUAUAAUUACCAUAGUGUAAUGCAAGUCUCCCUUCUUGAAUUUUGUAAUUUGAAGUGAAUAGCCUGUUUAUCUAGCCUGUAGUGUACAAACUUAUUUGAUGCAUUUUUUCGGGCAGUGAAAAAAAUGCAUCAAUGUUGACUCUAGAUGGAGUUGACGUCAUGGGGGAACGCUUAGCAAAUGAGGUAAGUAAUGCAGACAACUAAUUCAAGAACUAGCUAUUGGUCCAUAGUAAUUUGUAAUAAAAUUUUAUUCUUUAUCAAACUGUUCUCUGGCACAGUUCCUAUUGUCUGAACAAUCAGUCUAGAUGCUAACUUGCAUUCUCCUCUUACUCAGGUGCUCUUUAUCAAGCUGAAUGUUGCACUCAGCUUGCAUUGAUGGUAAGCUUACAGAAAAUGCACUUUGUUCAUAUUUGUGCAGAACACUGAGCAGGUCGUAUCCAAUCAGACCACCUUGGCACCUUCACAUGUUAUCAAAAUACUUUUUAUCUCCCUCCAUUUCUUUGGGUUUAACAAACCAUUUUAGGGAUUUGGAAGAUCGAACGAAGAAUUUAGACCUAAUAUUGUUGAAGAGAUACAAUUUUCAAAAGAAGUUGCUUGUGGAGG
This 704-nucleotide long non-coding RNA is filed under the name Zea mays. RNAcentral's name for it is "long non-coding RNA (ZMAY_LNC000589)". The record is from RNAcentral. Lineage: Eukaryota; Viridiplantae; Streptophyta; Magnoliopsida; Poales; Poaceae.